RNAcentral lists this ribosomal RNA (460 nucleotides) under uncultured bacterium. Its description in RNAcentral is "partial 16S ribosomal RNA". It matches the Rfam family "Bacterial small subunit ribosomal RNA", at positions 338 to 795 of the family's 1533-position model. The record is from RNAcentral.
CCUACGGGAGGCAGCAGUGAGGAAUAUUGGUCAAUGGUCGGGAGACUGAACCAGCCAAGCCGCGUGAGGGAGGAAGGUACAGAGUAUCGUAAACCUCUUUUGUCAGGGAACAAAGACUGGGACGCGUCCCCGGAUGAGUGUACCUGAAGAAAAAGCAUCGGCUAACUCCGUGCCAGCAGCCGCGGUAAUACGGAGGAUGCGAGCGUUAUCCGGAUUUACUGGGUGUAAAGGGCGUGUAGGCGGGAGUGCAAGUCAGAUGUGAAAACUAUGGGCUCAACCCAUAGCCUGCAUUUGAAACUGUACGUCGUGAGGGCUGGAGAGGCAAUCGGAAUUCCGGGUGUAGCGGUGAAAUGCGUAGAUAUACGGAGGAACACCAGUGGCGAAGGCGGAUUGCUGGACAGUAACUGACGCUGAGGCGCGAAAGCGUGGGGAGCAAACAGGAUUAGAUACCCGAGUAGUC